RNAcentral lists this ribosomal RNA (274 nucleotides) under uncultured prokaryote. RNAcentral's name for it is "partial 16S ribosomal RNA". It matches the Rfam family "Bacterial small subunit ribosomal RNA", at positions 524 to 798 of the family's 1533-position model. The record is from RNAcentral.
UACGUAUGGGGCAAGCGUUAUCCGGAAUUAUUGGGCGUAAAGAGUGCGUAGGUGGUUACCUAAGCGCAAGGUUUAAUCUUGAGGCUCAACCUCAUUCUGCCUUGCGAACUGGGCUACUUGAGUGCAGGAGGGGAAAGCGGAAUUCCCAGUGUAGCGGUGAAAUGCGUAGAUAUUGGGAAGAACACCGGUGGCGAAGGCGGCUUUCUGGACUGUAACUGACACUGAGGCACGAAAGCGUGGGGAGCAAACAGGAUUAGAUACCCUGGUAGUCCCU